ACCCGCUGAAUUUAAGCAUAUGAAUUAAGCGGAGGAAAAGAAACUAACUAGGAUUCCCUCAGUUAACGGCGAGUGAAGCGGGACUAGCUCAGGAUGUGAAUCUGCGCUUUUAUGGCGCCGAAUUGUGGUCUGUAGACUUUGACGUUAUCUGCCGGGCCAAGUUCCUUGGAAAAGGACAGCUGAGAGGGUGAAACUCCCGUCCGCCUGGUAGAAUGAGUCUUUGUCAACGAGUCGAGUUGUUUGGGAUUGCAGCUCUAAUUUGGUGGUAAAUUCCAUCUAAAGCUAAAUAUUGGUGGGAGACCGAUAGCGUACAAGUACCGUGAGGGAAAGAUGCAAAGAACUUUGAAAAGAGAGUUAAAGAGUACCUGAAAUUUGCUGAAACGGAAGCGAAGGAAACCAGUGUUUGUUGGUUCAUAUUUCCCUGGCCACUUGUGGUUUGGGCGCUGUGAGCUUGCGUGGGUUUGGGUUGGUUGAUCCCUUUGGAAGAGCGCAGUCAGAGUUGAUGUCUGUUGCUAGCACUGGGUUUGACUGAUGCAGACGAAAUGGUUUUCUUUUACCCCGUCUUGAAACCACCGGACCAAGGAGUCUAACAUAUGUGCGAGUACAGGGGUGUCAAACCCCGGUGCGUAAUGAAAGUGACAGUGGUUGGAUAUUUUGCACAAUCCGCCGGCCUCAAUCCUUCGGGAGAACGGUCUGAGUGUGAGCAUACAUGUUGGGACCCGAAAGAUGGUGAACUAUGCCUGAAUAGGGUGAAGCCAGGGGAAACUCUGGUGGAGGCUCGUAGCGAUUCUGACGUGCAAAUCGUUC
This 807-nucleotide ribosomal RNA is filed under the name Pseudo-nitzschia fraudulenta. RNAcentral describes it as "LSU rRNA". It matches the Rfam family "Eukaryotic large subunit ribosomal RNA", at positions 23 to 903 of the family's 3401-position model. Lineage: Eukaryota; Bacillariophyta; Bacillariophyceae; Bacillariales; Bacillariaceae. The record is from RNAcentral.